This is a long non-coding RNA of Vidua chalybeata, 211 nucleotides long. RefSeq lists it as uncharacterized. The transcript is spliced from 3 exons. NCBI's taxonomy places the organism in Eukaryota, Metazoa, Chordata, Aves, Passeriformes, Viduidae. The record is from RefSeq and is a predicted model, not a curated record.
UGCAGAUGUUGGGGGGGUCGAUGCACGCCCCAAUGAAGCGGGUCAGGUGGUUGAACUGGAUGUCUCGCAUCUGCAGGCAAGGUGAAGACUCCAGGAUGAGGCAUGGUGCACCGCACGGAGUGUAGGACAUGGAUAAGGGACAAGGUGAGCCGGCUGCCUGCUGCCUUGUGGUACCGCUCAGGACUUCCAAACUGCAGCUCAUCCCAGCGGA